GGGGAAUUUUCCGCAAUGGGCGCAAGCCUGACGGAGCAAGACCGCGUGCGGGAGGACGGCCUAUUGGUUGUAAACCGCUUUUGAUAGGGAAGAAGCUCUGACGGUACCUAUCGAAUCAGCAUCGGCUAACUCCGUGCCAGCAGCCGCGGUAAUACGGAGGAUGCAAGCGUUAUCCGGAAUUAUUGGGCGUAAAGCGUCCGUAGGUGGUUGUUCAAGUCUGCUGUUAAAGCGUGCGGCUUAACCGCAUACCAGCAAUGGAAACUGGGCGACUAGAGUGCGGUAGGGGUCAGGGGAAUUCCCAGUGUAGCGGUGAAAUGCGUAGAUAUUGGGAAGAACACCGGUGGCGAAAGCGCCUGACUGGACCUGCACUGACACUGAGGGACGAAAGCUAGGGGAGCGAAAGGGAUUAGAUACCCCAGUAGUC
This 424-nucleotide ribosomal RNA is filed under the name uncultured cyanobacterium. RNAcentral describes it as "bacterial SSU rRNA". It matches the Rfam family "Bacterial small subunit ribosomal RNA", at positions 356 to 795 of the family's 1533-position model. The record is from RNAcentral. Lineage: Bacteria; Bacillati; Cyanobacteriota.